UCACCUCCACACACUCUGUCCAGCUCAAUUAAGGACAGCAUGUCUCUCCUCUCAGCCUCACGAAGUUCCUUUUUCUCCUGCUGUUUGCGUCGUAUCUGGGAACCCCACGAAUCAAUCAGACACAUGUUAGCUGCAGCUUUUUUCUCCUUCUCCAGUUUUUCAAGCUUCUGCUCUGCAGCUUCCCGAUGUUUAAUGUCUUCCAUUAACUUUUCCUCCAUAAAAGUCCUUUUCAUAUCUUCUUUUUUCUUUAUAAGUGAAAGUUGGUCGUACACGAUUUUUUUACGCAUUUCAAGACUUCUGUUGUUAUCAGCAAUGUCACAGUGAGUGUCACGAUCUAGAACGACCGAUUGAUGAUGAACAGCUCUUCCUGGCUCAGUAACGUUGUUCUGUGUCUUCAGGUUCUGCUGAGCCGCCUUCUUCUGUCUACUUUCCUCACCUCGAUAUCCAGGAAGAACCCCUUGCCUUUCAGUCCUGUCCAUUUCCCUCUUCUUUUUCUCUUUGCGUUUAUGUCUGGCAGCCAAUUCAUCAGCCAGAGGGUUUUGCGUUGGAGUUUUCUGUUGCUGCUGUAUUUUAUGUGACAAUGUGGCAGUCUCAUCCUCGUAAAACAUGUCACAAUGCUUUUUCUGUAAAAGAACAUCACAUUUCUUUAGUACGUCCUCUAAACUGUAAUCACUAGAUUUCUUUUUUUCUUUGGUACGCAGAGUCUCAUUCUGUCUCAAAAAUUUCCGGCAUUGCUCUUUCUUCCGUCUACUCGUCUCAAUUUCCUCAGUUUGAUGGAGUCUAUCUGACUCCAUCAUGGCAGCCCUGUAUUGCCUUUCAAGUUUAGCUUGUUUCUCCUCCUUCUGUUGUUUAUAUUGAAUUUGAGCAUCCCAGGUAUCAGUCAGAGACUGUUUUAUUUCAUCUUUCUGCUUCCUUUCUCUUUCCUCUUGCAACUUCUGGAGUAACUGCUGAUUGGCCCUCUCUGCACAACGCUUGUUCUCCAGAAGAAUGUAAUUGGCAGCUUCUUUCCUCUUUAUUUUGUCUAGAUUGUCGUAAACAAUCUUCUUACAAUCCUGUUGAGAAAGGACCUUUUCAGGAAGCCUCAUCUCACGCUGGUGUUGAAACACAGAUAUAGAAGGAAAGUCUUCAUUUGUCUCCCGCAUAGCCAUUUCUUUAGAAAAAAUGUUCUCCUCUAAAGUGUCUUUUGCAACUUCUUUUUUCUUCAGGUCCUGUAUGAUGGGUUUCUGUUCUUUUUUACAUGACAAAGGCUUCUUAAACUGUUUGUCAUGUUUGUCUUUCCCAGUAACCUCAUUGCAAUUAGCUGUGGACACAGCUCUUUGUCUCAUUUUUUGUUCAUGUUCUGCAUUUUUUGUAUAUAUCGUCCAGUAUGAAACAACGGUGUUUGAAGAUUUUUCCUGCUCUCGAAGUCAUAAAGCUUGAAUGGCAGCUUAACGGCAGAAAGGAACAGAAGAUUAGCGGCCCUAUUGAUAGAGGCACAAGGUAUGUUUCUUUUGUAAAUGAGGAUGGUUCUAAUUUUUUAAUCGAUUGAAAUUGUGAAUUUGUUGUAUAUAAACACUAGGGCAUAGUUUUGAAUUAGAGUUGAUAUUUUUAGAGGUGAACAUUAUUUUUAGUUGAAACGUUCUGGUUGUAAGAGUGUGUUUUUGUAGCUUACACUGUCCUUUUUGUGUGUGUGUGUGUGUGUGUUUGUGCAUACAGCUAUUACAGUGAAACUCAGGGUUUACUUCCAAUAAACAAUCCUUCAUUUGGG
Xiphophorus couchianus (Monterrey platyfish) is the source of this 1747-nucleotide long non-coding RNA. RefSeq lists it as uncharacterized. The record is from RefSeq and is a predicted model, not a curated record. The transcript is spliced from 2 exons. NCBI's taxonomy places the organism in Eukaryota, Metazoa, Chordata, Actinopteri, Cyprinodontiformes, Poeciliidae.